Molecule: long non-coding RNA, 204 nt
Filed under: Mytilus galloprovincialis (Mediterranean mussel)
Lineage: Eukaryota; Metazoa; Mollusca; Bivalvia; Mytilida; Mytilidae
Source: RNAcentral
UUUUUUUACAUAAAUAAGGCCGUUAGUUUUCUCGUUUGAAUUGUUUUACAUUGUCUUAUCGGGGCCUAUUAUAUCUGACUAUGCGGUAUGGGCUUUACUCAUUGUUGAAGGCCGUACGGUGACCUAUAGUUGUUAAUGUCUGUGUCAUUUUGGUCUUUUGUGGAUAGUUGUCUCAUUGGCAAUCAUACCACAUCUUCUUUUUUA